GCUACGGGAGAGGAAGGGCGGCUACAGAGCUCCGGCGGGGCUCCCCCACUGCCAACACCAUGUCUACACUGCAGGCUUACUGCUCUGCGCUGACCUGGUCUGAACAACGGUAUUUCGCUAAAUAUCCGUUUCAUCAGAUUAGGACAACUUACACGACGGUAGGAUUUAAUAGGAAAAAUUAGACAGGGUCUCUAUUCCUUUCUAAGUUCACUACAGACCUAACAACAAAGUGGCCCGAAUUCUGCGUCAGGUGCUAUUCACUGCUGGUAAUUACAGUUCACAGGACAUGGAACUGACUAGGGUACAAGUCAUUGCGUUUUCUUGACAAGACUUCUGUUUUUUUCCAUACUUUAUGACUUAGAAAUAACGAUCAGGCCUCAUUUUAAACGUGCUUGUCAUCCGGCAGACUUCUAGGAAGACGGGCGGCCCAGCCGAGGACCUCAGGGCAGCCUUCUGCUCUUCCUGCUGCUCCGGGCGGGCGCUCAGCCCCACAGGUGUUCGUCGGGCCCCUGGCCCAAGCAGUGGGCGACACGGACUCCCCGCCUCCCGGGGCUUCAUCCCCACGCGGAGACUGACACGCGACUCGACAAAUACUUUGAGUGCAGACUCCGUGCCCAGCUCUGUUCUGGGCACCGGGGACAGGACAGUGCACGUCAAUCAUCUGAAGGACGGGGAAAACCCGAACUGAAAUGAACACAUUUCUAUGCACCAUCCUUAAGGAGUCUGACUUGUGGGGCCAGGAGUCCAGGCGCCCAGCAUGCCUGACACCAGCACCACCCUCUGACGGGCGCUAUAGACGGAGAAGCACUUUGCCCGGCCUUCUCCUCCAAGUGUCCGUCUGUGGGACAUCCCAACUCCUGGGGAGACCAGAAAAAUCCUUCCAGGAAUAAAUGACCUUUUUGGUUA
This is a long non-coding RNA of Felis catus (domestic cat), 906 nucleotides long. RefSeq lists it as uncharacterized. The record is from RefSeq and is a predicted model, not a curated record. Lineage: Eukaryota; Metazoa; Chordata; Mammalia; Carnivora; Felidae. The transcript has 2 exons.